Long non-coding RNA from Melanotaenia boesemani (Boeseman's rainbowfish), 255 nucleotides. RefSeq lists it as uncharacterized. Lineage: Eukaryota; Metazoa; Chordata; Actinopteri; Atheriniformes; Melanotaeniidae. The record is from RefSeq and is a predicted model, not a curated record. The transcript is spliced from 3 exons.
ACCUCAUACAGUUGCUCAUUCCAACAAACUGCAAAUGCUUUUGGACAUGCAUCAAUUGCUUUCAUACAACUUUCUGCUGUUUUAUAACAUUAUCAUUUGUUAAUGUCAUGUCAGUCAAAAUUAACUAUACUUGUGAACGCUGAAUAGUCAUUCCAUAUAAAAUUAAUAGUCCUCAUUUCAUUGUUUGAGUCAUUACAUACAGAAUUGUUGAACUGGUUGUCAAAAUCUGUCAAGCAAAUUUUAUAACUAUUUUUU